UGAGGAAUAUUGGUCAAUGGGCGAGAGCCUGAACCAGCCAAGUAGCGUGCAGGAAGACGGCCCUAUGGGUUGUAAACUGCUUUUAUGUGGGGAUAAAGUGCGUGACGUGUCAUGCAUUGCAGGUACCACAUGAAUAAGGACCGGCUAAUUCCGUGCCAGCAGCCGCGGUAAUACGGAAGGUUCGGGCGUUAUCCGGAUUUAUUGGGUUUAAAGGGAGCGUAGGCCGUUUGGUAAGCGUGUUGUGAAAUGUAGGAGCUCAACUUCUAGAUUGCAGCGCGAACUGUCAGACUUGAGUGCGCACAACGUAGGCGGAAUUCAUGGUGUAGCGGUGAAAUGCUUAGAUAUCAUGAAGAACUCCGAUUGCGAAGGCAGCUUACGGGAGCGCAACUGACGCUGAAGCUCGAAGGUGCGGGUAUCGAACAGG
Molecule: ribosomal RNA, 424 nt
Filed under: Verrucomicrobiota bacterium
Lineage: Bacteria; Pseudomonadati; Verrucomicrobiota
Description: Verrucomicrobia bacterium partial 16S ribosomal RNA
Rfam family: Bacterial small subunit ribosomal RNA
Source: RNAcentral